CCUACGGGAGGCAGCAGUGGGGAAUAUUGCGCAAUGGGCGAAAGCCUGACGCAGCGACGCCGCGUGAGGGAUGAAGGUCUUCGGAUCGUAAACCUCUGUCAGCAGGGAAGAACGGUCACUGUGCUAAUCAGCAGUGAAUUGACGGUACCUGCACAGGAAGCACCGGCUAACUCCGUGACAGCAGCCGCGGUAAUACGGAGGGUGCGAGCGUUUAUCGGGAUUACUGGGCGUAAAGCGCUCGUAGGCGGUAUGUCAAGUAAAGGGUGAAAUCCCCGGGCUCAACGUAGGAACUGCCUUUGAGACUUGCAAACUGGAGUGUGGGAGAGGAUAGUGGAAUUCCAGGUGUAGGAGUGAAAUCCGUAGAUAUCUGGAGGAACAUCAGUGGCGAAGGCGACUAUCUGGCACAUAACUGACGCUGAGGAGCGAAAGCGUGGGUAGCAAACAGGAUUAGAUACCCCUGUAGUC
This 465-nucleotide ribosomal RNA is filed under the name uncultured bacterium. RNAcentral's name for it is "partial 16S ribosomal RNA". It matches the Rfam family "Bacterial small subunit ribosomal RNA", at positions 338 to 795 of the family's 1533-position model. The record is from RNAcentral.